RNAcentral lists this transfer RNA (67 nucleotides) under Sastragala edessoides. RNAcentral's name for it is "tRNA-Pro". Lineage: Eukaryota; Metazoa; Arthropoda; Insecta; Hemiptera; Acanthosomatidae. The record is from RNAcentral.
CAGUAAAUAGUUUAAUAUAAAACAUAAGUUUUGGAGAUUUAAUAUAAGUAUAAUUGCUUUUUACUGA